UUCUAAUAGUCAUCAUUAUUAGUAAAAUCUGCUCAAUGAAUAUUAAAUAGCCGCAACUUUAUUUGUGCUAAGGUAGCAUAAUCAUUUGUCUUUUAAUUAAAGACUAGAACGAAAGAUUUAACUUUUAAAUUUCUAUAUUAAUUAAAUAAAUCGAAAUUAUUUUAAAUAUAAAAAAAUAUUUAUUAAACAAAAAGACGAUAAGACCCUAUUGAACUUUACUUAAGUUUAACUGGGGCAGUUAAUUAAAUAUAAUUUUAAUUUUUAUUACUAAAAAAAUGAUCCAAUAAAUUUGAAUACAUGAUCAAGUUACCAUAGGGAUAACAGCGUAAUAAAUUUUUAAAGAUCUUAUUUAAAACUUUGUUUGCGACCUCGAUGUUGAAUAAUUACUCUACUAUAAAGCAAAAAUUUAAAAAGAAAGUCUGUUCGACUUUUAAAUAUUUACA
This 443-nucleotide ribosomal RNA is filed under the name cf. Rangitata sp. New Zealand CG224. Its description in RNAcentral is "partial 16S ribosomal RNA". The record is from RNAcentral. Lineage: Eukaryota; Metazoa; Arthropoda; Arachnida; Araneae; Amphinectidae.